This 303-nucleotide ribosomal RNA is filed under the name uncultured bacterium. RNAcentral's name for it is "bacterial SSU rRNA". It matches the Rfam family "Bacterial small subunit ribosomal RNA", at positions 775 to 1073 of the family's 1533-position model. The record is from RNAcentral.
AGUCAAUAGAUACCCGGGUAGUCCACGCCGUAAACGAUGAUGACUAGCUGUCGGGGCGCUUGGCGUUUCGGUGGCGCAGCUAACGCGUUAAGUCAUCCGCCUGGGGAGUACGGCCGCAAGGUUAAAACUCAAAGAAAUUGACGGGGGCCUGCACAAGCGGUGGAGCAUGUGGUUUAAUUCGAAGCAACGCGCAGAACCUUACCAGCGUUUGACAUGGUAGGACGGUUUCCAGAGAUGGAUUCCUUCCCUUACGGGACCUACACACAGGUGCUGCAUGGCUGUCGUCAGCUCGUGUCGUGAGAU